RNAcentral lists this long non-coding RNA (3117 nucleotides) under Salmo salar (Atlantic salmon). Its description in RNAcentral is "lncRNA (ENSSSAG00000090404.1)". The record is from RNAcentral. Lineage: Eukaryota; Metazoa; Chordata; Actinopteri; Salmoniformes; Salmonidae.
GCAAAAUGAUGAAACCAGCUAGACCUCCAGCCUGAGCUUUCAUAAGUCAUAUUGUCACGCCCUGACCUGAGAGAGACGGUUUAUUUCUCUAUUUUGUUAGGUCAGGGUGUGGGGUGGGCAUUCUAUGUUUUAUAUUUCUAUGUUUUGGCCAGGCAGAGCUUUUUCCCUCCUAGAGUUGUGGGAUCUUAUUUUUGUACUGCUCGGUAAGCCUGCAAGACGUGACGGUCGUUUACCAUUGUUUAUUAUUUUGUUUAAGUGUUCUGAGUAAAAAUAAAUAUCAAGAUGAACACUUACCACGCUGCACCUUGGUCUACUCCUUUGGACAACCGUUACACAUAUGAUCUAUCAUAGGGGUUAUACAUUAAUUCUUGCAUUCUACAGCCGUACUAUUUAUUAGGAAUUAUAUCACAAAUAAACAUACCCCUAAUGAGAUAUAUAGUUAGCUAAUAAUAUAGUUAGCUAAUAAUAAUAUACCCUAUCUUUCUUCUGGCCGAUAGGCUAGUAGCUACUAGCUACAAAUCCAAUCACAAACCAGUUCUUCAUUUUAGCUAAUACCUAAUGACAAAUACUAUUGAAUUUGUCUAUUUGAGCAUUUUAUUUUGUAGUCAUCAAAAACAUUAAGAUCAAAAAGACAAGACACAAGCUAAAUUAAGUAGGCUACCUUGGUCCGUUUUGGGUGACUGACUGACUGCAGCUUGAACAACAGUCAACAGACUAGCUUGACUUUGGUAGCUAGCAAUCCAGCUAACAUUAUCUGAGGAGACACUAUAGUGGCCUGAACAUACGAUGACAUUGCUAAAGUAGGCAAAUAAUUAUUUGGAAACAUCUUUGCCAUCAUUAACAGGUCCUACGCUAUUACUCCAAGAUCGGUGUACAAGCUGACGCGAUUUCCUCUACAGCAGUGUCUCAUGCUGAAGUUGUCAAGAGACUGUCUGAAUUAAACUGCUCUAAAGUUACAGGCCUCAACAAUAUCCCUGCCAGGUUUUAAAUGGUGCUGAACUUAAUGUCCCCUGUGUCACCCAUUUAAUAAAUAUCUCUAUUGAGCAGGGUGGAAUCCCCAUGGAUAAAACGGACACUGGUAACUAUAGACCUGUAUCUAUUUUUAGCAUGCUGUCUAAAGUGAUGGAAAAAGUAAUUUACGAAUAGAGGAAUAUACUAGCAAGAAUAAUACUUUAUAUACUCUACAGUCUGGUUUUAGAAAGUCCCACUCCACUGACGUCUAUUAUUUUUAACUGACUUUACCAGAAAAUCAUUCUUGAAGUUGACAGGGGACAUUUCUGUGGAAUGGUAAUGCUGCAUCUGCAGAAGGCGUUUGACACGGUUGAUCAUAGUUUCAUGCUCUACAGGUAAAUAACCAUUGGUUUUAACAGCAGGGCCAUUGACUGAUAGACCAAAUGGUGGAUGUAAAUCAAAAACAUUCUAGUGCGAAGGGGAUUAGCUGUAGGGUCCCACAGCGGAGCAUGCUUGGCCCACUUCUCUUCCUACUGUAUAUUAACUAUAUGAAAUCAGCCUGCUUUCGUCAUUUGUUUUUGAAUGCGGAUGACUCCGCCCUACUGGUGUCCCAUGAGCUCAAAGCCUCAGUAGAAGAGAUCUUUAGUGCAGAGUUAUCCAAUAUCACUAAAUGGCUUUCAUCAUUUUCACAAUUUCAGUGUUAUUUCAACCUCAUAGUGUGGAUAUCAUCAAAAAAAAUCAAGAACCUCAUUGCGGAGAAGAAACUAACGUCUCUGGGCAUGGCGUAGCGUUUGCCCAGAGCAAGGAGUCUGGGUAGCCAGGCAAACAACACUGUAAUGAGGAACGUAUAAAUGUAUGGUUGGAUCAGAAUCACCAUUAUAAUCAUUGGCCAGUACGGAGAAUUAAGUAAACCCACAAGUCCAAAUCCCUAUCUCCAUCCAUUACUAAUUUAGGGAAGGGACAAGUUUCUGUCAGUGACGUAUGCUCUCAAUGCGAUGUGAUUGGAGUGAAGCCAAAUUCAAACUGGCUUCCCUUGACACUUUUUGUUUGUGUACCGGGACCAUUCACAGUUUAGCUCACUCAGUUUAGCUCAACACUUUAUUUAUUUUUUUUAUCAAGGGAGGCCAAAUGCUCGCUGGCUUCCCUUGCAUUCAAUGCUGCGGGCGGCAACAAUGUCAUACUCUUUUGGACCAGACAGCAUCAGAUAGAUGGCCUACACAUACAGAGACAGAGUGGCACUGUUUCACUUUCUGAUGAGAUACAACAGAUAACACAGAGAGACAAAAGAUACAUUAUUUAAUGUUUUUAAUUUAAAAAAUGAAAAUAUUUGGGGGAAGCCUGGCUUCCCUUGGCAUCAAUGAAUACACGCCAAUGGGCCUGAGAGGAUGGAAGUUCAAUAUAUAGCUAGAUGUAGAAGGAUAAUGUUAACUAGUUAACGUUGCCCAUGAAAGGAAGUUAGGCUAGCGAGCAAGCUUUUUAGCCAGGUAGCCUUGGGACAACAAAAAUGAAAGCGUGCUCUCCAGUUUUGUGAUUUUAUUUAACCUUCAUUUAACUAGGCAAGUCAGUUAAGAACAAAUUCUUAUUUUCAAUGACGGCCUAGGAACAGUGGGUUAACUGCCUUGUUCAGGGGCAGAACAACAGAUUUGUACCUUGUCAGCUCGGGGAUUCGAUCUUGUAACGGUUACUAGUCCAACACUCUAACCACUAGGCUACGCUGCCGCCCAUGAAACAAAGGUGUUGAAUUGAAUUUAUUCAGCCACUGUGUCUUCUUAUUGUCUCAGCCUCAGGCCUGUAUAUCACGGUCGCAAGGCGUAUGAACUAACAGGUUAUAGAGCUAACAGCCCAAUUAUCACAACACAUAGGUUGUAAUAUGGCUUUUUUUUCUGGCUUGGCUUCCUCAGAGAUUUAACCCACGCAACGCUACUGGUAAAAUAAAGCGUUCAUCUAGCCGUGGUUUCUGAUGUCAGUUGAUUUCAUUAAAGUAUGAUUAAGGCUGGAUUAGGAGUAUAAACAGGAGGUCCUUCCAGAGCCUUCACAUUAUAUUCAUCUUCCAUUUUGCUCUAAUCUAAUUCCACCAGUGGAGGCUGCUGAGGGGAAGACAACUCAUAAUAAUGGCUGGAAUGGAGUGAAUGAAAUGGUAUCAAACACAUGAAAACUAUGUGUUUA